RNAcentral lists this ribosomal RNA (492 nucleotides) under uncultured bacterium. RNAcentral's name for it is "partial 16S ribosomal RNA". It matches the Rfam family "Bacterial small subunit ribosomal RNA", at positions 29 to 507 of the family's 1533-position model. The record is from RNAcentral.
AGUGAACGCUGGCGGUAGGCCUAACACAUGCAAGUCGAACGGCAGCACAGUAAGAGCUUGCUCUUACCGUUGGCUAGUGGCGGACGGGUGAGGCAUACAUCGGCAUCUACUUUUUCUUGGGGGAUAACGUAGGGAAACUUCCGCUACUACCUCAUACGACCUACGGGUUAAAUCAGUGGAUCUUCGCACCUUGCGCGUUUGUAUUAGCCGACGUCGGAUUAGCUAGUUGGCAUGGUAAAGGCUUACCAAGGCAACGAUGCGUAGCUGGUCUGAGAGGAUGAUCGGCCACACUGGAACUGAGACACGGUCCAGACUCCUACGGGAGGCAGCAGUAGGGAAUAUUGCGCAAUGGGCGAAAGCCUGACGGAGCAAUGCCGCGUGAGUGAAGAAGGUCUUCGGAUCGUAAAGCUCUGUUAUUAGGGAAGAAAAAAUGUGGAAGUAAAUAUGCACGUCUUGACGGUACCUAAUCAGAAAGCAACGGCUAACUACGUG